This 551-nucleotide ribosomal RNA is filed under the name uncultured Ureibacillus sp. RNAcentral's name for it is "bacterial SSU rRNA". It matches the Rfam family "Bacterial small subunit ribosomal RNA", at positions 355 to 897 of the family's 1533-position model. Lineage: Bacteria; Bacillati; Bacillota; Bacilli; Caryophanales; Caryophanaceae. The record is from RNAcentral.
UAGGGAAUCUUCCACAAUGGGCGAAAGCCUGAUGGAGCAACGCCGCGUGAGCGAAGAAGGUCUUCGGAUCGUAAAGCUCUGUUGUAAGGGAAGAAUAAGCGCAGCAGUUACUGGCUGCGCCCUGACGGUACCUUACUAGAAAGCCACGGCUAACUACGUGCCAGCAGCCGCGGUAAUACGUAGGUGGCAAGCGUUGUCCGGAAUUAUUGGGCGUAAAGCGCGCGCAGGCGGUCUCUUAAGUCUGAUGUGAAAGCCCCCGGCUCAACCGGGGAGGGUCAUUGGAAACUGGGAGACUUGAGUGCAGGAGAGGGAAGCGGAAUUCCAUGUGUAGCGGUGAAAUGCGUAGAGAUAUGGAGGAACACCAGUGGCGAAGGCGGCUUCCUGGCCUGUAACUGACGCUGAGGCGCGAAAGCGUGGGGAGCAAACAGGAUUAGAUACCCUGGUAGUCCACGCCGCAAACGAUGAGUGCUAGGUGUUAGGGGGUUUCCGCCCCUUAGUGCUGCAGCUAACGCAUUAAGCACUCCGCCUGGGGAGUACGGUCGCAAGACUGA